Molecule: ribosomal RNA, 378 nt
Filed under: uncultured bacterium
Lineage: Bacteria
Description: bacterial SSU rRNA
Rfam family: Bacterial small subunit ribosomal RNA
Source: RNAcentral
UAUUGGACAAUGGGGGAAACCCUGAUCCAGCAAUGCCGCGUGAGUGAUGAAGGCCUUCGGGUUGUAAAGCUCUUUUGUCAGGGACGAUGAUGACGGUACCUGACGAAUAAGCUCCGGCUAACUUCGUGCCAGCAGCCGCGGUAAUACGAGGGGAGCUAGCGUUGUUCGGAAUUACUGGGCGUAAAGGGCGUGUAGGCGGUACCAUAAGUCAGAUGUGAAAGCCCUAGGCUUAACCUAGGAAUUGCAUUUGAAACUGUGGAACUAGAGAUCGAGAGAGGUAAGUGGAAUUACGAGUGUAGAGGUGAAAUUCGUCGAUAUUCGUAAGAACACCAGUGGCGAAGGGGACUUACGGCUCGAUACUGACGCUAAGGCGCGAAA